ACGAAAGGACAAGAGAAAUAAGGCCCACUUUAAAUAAGCGCCUUAGCGAUUAACAGAUGAUAUAAUCUUAAUCUACAAAUACACACAUACACUAAACAUCACCCAAAAACAGGGUUC
This 117-nucleotide ribosomal RNA is filed under the name Nyctinomops macrotis (big free-tailed bat). RNAcentral's name for it is "partial 16S ribosomal RNA". Lineage: Eukaryota; Metazoa; Chordata; Mammalia; Chiroptera; Molossidae. The record is from RNAcentral.